RNAcentral lists this ribosomal RNA (315 nucleotides) under uncultured eukaryote. Its description in RNAcentral is "partial 18S ribosomal RNA". It matches the Rfam family "Eukaryotic small subunit ribosomal RNA", at positions 1470 to 1796 of the family's 1831-position model. The record is from RNAcentral.
CCCUUAGACGUUCUGGGCCGCACGCGCGCUACACUGACCAGUGCAACAAGCAUCCGUCCUUGGCCGACAGGCCCGGGCAAUCUUUGAACGCUGGUCGUGAUGGGGAUAGACUUUUGCAAUUUUUGGUCUUCAACGAGGAAUUCCUAGUAAACGCAAGUCAUCAACUUGCAUUGAUUACGUCCCUGCCCUUUGUACACACCGCCCGUCGCACCUACCGAUUGAAUGGUCCGGUGAAGCCUCCGGAUUGGCGCGCACCCCGGUGCCGCCGAGAAGUUGGCUAAACCUUACCAUUUAGAGGAAGGAGAAGUCGUAACA